UAAAUACUCCCACCGUCUCAAAAAAUUUGUCUUAAAUUUAUCUAGAUAUAGAUGUUUCUAACACUAAAAUAUGAAUAGAUACAUCCAUAUAUAGACAAAUCUAAGACAAGUAUUUUGGGAUUGAGGGAGUAUAAG
This is a non-coding RNA of Triticum aestivum (bread wheat), 135 nucleotides long. The record is from Rfam. NCBI's taxonomy places the organism in Eukaryota, Viridiplantae, Streptophyta, Magnoliopsida, Poales, Poaceae.